RNAcentral lists this ribosomal RNA (424 nucleotides) under bacterium 14S533. RNAcentral describes it as "bacterial SSU rRNA". It matches the Rfam family "Bacterial small subunit ribosomal RNA", at positions 1043 to 1468 of the family's 1533-position model. The record is from RNAcentral.
CAAUGGCUGUUCCCAGCUCGUGUUGUGAAAUGUUGGGUUAAGUCCCGCAACGAGCGCAACCCUUAUCCUUUGUUGCCAGCGGUUCGGCCGGGAACUCAAAGGAGACUGCCAGUGAUAAACUGGAGGAAGGUGGGGAUGACGUCAAGUCAUCAUGGCCCUUACGAGUAGGGCUACACACGUGCUACAAUGGCAUAUACAAAGAGAAGCGACCUCGCGAGAGCAAGCGGACCUCAUAAAGUAUGUCGUAGUCCGGAUUGGAGUCUGCAACUCGACUCCAUGAAGUCGGAAUCGCUAGUAAUCGUAGAUCAGAAUGCUACGGUGAAUACGUUCCCGGGCCUUGUACACACCGCCCGUCACACCAUGGGAGUGGGUUGCAAAAGAAGUAGGUAGCUUAACCUUCGGGAGGGCGCUACCACUUUGGUAU